This is a non-coding RNA of Acanthosepion pharaonis, 82 nucleotides long. The record is from the annotation of a GenBank genome assembly. Lineage: Eukaryota; Metazoa; Mollusca; Cephalopoda; Sepiida; Sepiidae.
CCCGUACGAUCACUGAAGUUAAGCAAUGAUGAGUCUGAUCAGUACCUAGAUGAGUGACCGCUUUGGAAUACCAAGUGUUGUA